This 301-nucleotide ribosomal RNA is filed under the name uncultured bacterium. RNAcentral's name for it is "partial 16S ribosomal RNA". It matches the Rfam family "Bacterial small subunit ribosomal RNA", at positions 509 to 809 of the family's 1533-position model. The record is from RNAcentral.
CAGCCGCCGCGGGAAUACGUAGGUGGCAAGCGUUGUCCGGAAUUAUUGGGCGUAAAGGGCUCGCAGGCGGUUUCUUAAGUCUGACGUGAAAGCCCCCGGCUCAACCGGGGAAGGUCAUUGGAAACUGGGAAACUUGAGUGCAGAAGAGGAGAGUGGAAUUCCACGUGUAGCGGUGAAAUGCGUAGAGAUGUGGAGGAACACCAGUGGCGAAGGCGACUCUCUGGUCUGUAACUGACGCUGAGGAGCGAAAGCGUGGGGAGCGAACAGGAUUAGAUACCCCGGUAGUCCCUGUCUCUUAUAU